RNAcentral lists this ribosomal RNA (492 nucleotides) under uncultured bacterium. Its description in RNAcentral is "bacterial SSU rRNA". It matches the Rfam family "Bacterial small subunit ribosomal RNA", at positions 28 to 543 of the family's 1533-position model. The record is from RNAcentral.
GACGAACGCUGGCGGCGUGCCUAACACAUGCAAGUCGCACGGGGUAGCAAUACCCAGUGGCGAACGGGUGCGUAACACGUGAGGAACAUACCUAUCGGCGGGGGAUAGCCGGCCCAACGGCCGGGUAAUACCGCGUACGCUCUCCGGGGGGCAUCUCCUGGGGAGGAAAGCAGCAAUGCACCGAUAGAGUGCCUCGCGGCCUAUCAGCUAGUUGGUGAGGUAAUGGCUCACCAAGGCGACGACGGGUAGCUGGUCUGAGAGGAUGAUCAGCCACAUUGGGACUGAGACACGGCCCAGACUCCUACGGGAGGCAGCAGUGGGGAAUCUUGCGCAAUGGGCGAAAGUCUGACGCAGCGACGCCGCGUGUGGGAUGAAGGCCUUCGGGUCGUAAACCACUGUCGCGAGGGACGAAUACAAUUGACGGUACCUCGAAAGGAAGCACCGGCUAACUCUGUGCCAGCAGCCGCGGUAAUACAGAGGGUGCGAGCGUUG